Long non-coding RNA from Solanum dulcamara, 3055 nucleotides. RefSeq lists it as uncharacterized. Lineage: Eukaryota; Viridiplantae; Streptophyta; Magnoliopsida; Solanales; Solanaceae. The record is from RefSeq and is a predicted model, not a curated record. The transcript is spliced from 5 exons.
ACGUUAUAAGUAUUGCCAAAUCAUAAAAUAAUUAGCAAUGCUUAUUUAAACAUAUGACCACACUUUUAAGUGUCCUAUAUUUGUAACUCUAAAAACAACACUUUACAAGUGUGCCUUAUUAAUUCUCAUAAAAUUAUAGCAAAAAUAAUAACCCCCCCAUAUAUCUAUUCCCCCGCCCCCCUAAUUUCUAAAAAACAAGAGUAUUGCCUUUUUUCCCUUUCAUUCUUAAGGAUUUCUCAUUGUACCUCUCAACUCUUUAGCAAAUUUCAUCGCGCAUCUGAAGGGUCCCUCCAAUGAAAUCACUACUUUUGGUUUCUGUUUUGUCCCUGAUAAAGCACGGAUUUUGAUUUGUCGAUUUUCAAAAUUGUUGUUGGCGCUCUCUUUGAAAGCAUAGUGCGUAUCACUCUGGUUUUUCAUGAACCGUGGUGUUUAUAUCCUUGUGUCGGUUUCUUCUUAUGCAUAUGUUACUGAGCCAUUGUUGAUGCAUAUAUUACUGACCCAUUGUUGAUUGAAGUUGACCAAAUUUAUCACCUCGCUUGCGCUGCUUUCUUUAUUAUUUACAGUAUAAUAUUGUUAAGACAAUUAAGACAAACAUAAUUGGAAUGCAACUUGCCAAGGGAACUAGAGCAAGGGUUGAAAGCAGUGGUGGCUAUUCUAAAGGUUUAGCCUCAACUUGACAUUUCCAAAUGGAAGAAGUAUCCCACAAUAAAAUCUCGUUUGCAUGUUUACAUGGAUCCAAGUAAAUUGGUGCUUGAUAAAGAAUUUGUGCCGAAAGAUUUGAAAGUGCAAGGGAUGUUGGCAGAUGAUAGAAGAUUGGGAGAGAUUGUUCAAAGAGAGUUUACAGAAAAUUGAUGGCUCAAUCUGGAAGCAGCAAGAUUUAUGACACCGAGUGUGGAGCUGAUUUCUUCCAUCAACAUUUUGCUGAAUGAUCUAUAAGCUUAUGCAUGACUAAUUUGCGCACACUUCAACUAAAUCAUUGGACAGCUUGUCCGGCCCACUUGCCUGUUAUAUCCUGUACUUUCGCACCUUGGGACAUUGUCUUAAGUCUCUUGAAAGGUGCCAUGUGAUCUAGAUUAUCUACCACGCUAUCAAAUAACUCUAAGGAAAGAAGAAUGAGAUACCCCAUAAUAGGGAAGAUUGAAAAUAGAAUUAUAAGAAUCCGGAAGGAGUUGGAGGCCAAGUAAUGAGUCGUAGGACUCGACUUACUCGCAUAAGCUACCAACUUGGAUGUAUUACCUAUUUAAGCUACUUGAGUACACGCCGAGCUUAUGUAGGAAGGAUUACACGGGUUCUUAGACUAAGAUGAGAUUACGAACCUACGAAAGGGGAGAAGAGGACACGUGGCAGCAAGAAGGAGUGCCACGUGGAAGCAAGAGGAAGUGACACUUGGAAGCAGGUGAUGCACCUACUUGGGGUCGAGUAGGUGACCCACUUGCUUGGAGUGGACCCCACCUGCCAUGGGGUAGCCCAAGAGAGAACGCAUGGAUGCGCUGGCCCAAUGAGGGCUGGAUACGUGUCACCCUAAGGGGAUGACACGUGUCAUAUUUUAAGGGAGUGUAUGUAUAGGUCUUUUGAUGACUAACAAGUCAUUUCUUCAAGUUUAGACUUAGCCAUAAUUGGAGAAACUAAGAGAUUAAAAGAGAGGAGCUACGACAGCCAAGGAUCAAAGGCAAGCCCUCCAAUUUCAUUCCGUAAAUUAAUUAUCUAUGGUGUACUAUGAUGAAAGGAAGGUGUUAAUAACGUAAAUUUACUGUUUGGAGCAGAACCAAAAGGGUAAUGAACAACCACUACAUUUUCAGCCACGUCAAGGAACUUUCGAGGCGAGUUUUGGCGGGUUUUGGCAAGGUAAGGUUCUCCCUUUCGAGUUGGAGUUAAUGAUAUUGUUAUGGAGUAUAUUAAAUAUGUUAAAUGAAGCUUGAAGUAGGAAAAUUGCAUAAGUAUACUUGACGUGAGAAAGAAACUAAAUUGAAGUCAUUUUAGCUAAAUCGAAGUUGAGUAGUGUGUUAUGGUUGUGGUGCUGCGGUUGGAGAUGAUUUGGUUACGUGUUGCAGGGCUGGAAAGUAUUUCAAAAGGGGUGUGGGUGCUUCUGGUUUCAGCCACACAACCCUCCAUUACGUGUGGUCAAAGGUUUUAUGAAAUAAAGACUAAAAACCUUAUUUUGGUAUCGUGAUUUUGGGCGAAUCGUUGGAAACUUGUAUUGGGUAAUAUUGUAGUGAUUUGGUUGUACAUAGAUGCUGGUUAUUGUUGGUAAUAUGGAUGCUAAGGUUAGAGGUUAAAUCGGAAAUUUGGAUAGGGCAAGUUAUAGAGGAGACGCUGUCCGAUUUCUGUUAACUUCGGAACUAGUCAAUAGACUAGUCAAGAAGGACGAGCAAGGAAAUAGUUCCUAUAAAUACAUGAAUAUUAAUGUAGUAACUGGAAAGUGAAGGUCAUUAAUAUUAGUAUUACUUUCAUGAUUAAUAAGUUAAGGAGGUAAUGAGGCGAGCUGGAUUACAGUUAAUCCAUAAGAGGUACAGACAUGCGACUCGAGGAUCUGCAAGCAUAGGGUUCCACCCAGUGAGUUUGAGAAGAGAUCCAUUGUAUCGGAGCCCAACUUUUGGUACUGAACCUUGAUGUAUAUAUUUGUUUGUUCAGGGGUAUGGAGGGGGCCUGUCCUUCCAUAUGUCAUUGUUACUAUCCUUAGAGGUCUGUAGACAUACAUGUGGGUUGUAUAUACAUGUGUGUGAGUUAUGUAUCUAUGUAUUCUAUUCAGUUGUGCCAAUAUGUAAGCAUACAAUAGGUCUAGGGUAUACGCGAGUGUCCGACUUGGGCACCCAUCAUGGCCUAUGGGGUUGGGUUGUGACAUUGCCCAUGUAUCAAAGAUAAUGCUCUCUACCAAGACAAGUGCAGAUUGACUCAUACCAAUUUUUGUAGUUCAGAUUUGGACCCGGGACCUUGGAUAUCUAGUGUUUGACUAGUAUGCUAUACUAUAUUAUUUUCUCUAAGUUGGUAGUACAAAAAUCAUGUUUGAUCAUACUAUUGAAAUCAUAUUUACCCCUAAAAUACUAAAUGUCUAGAU